CCUACGGGUGGCUGCAGUGGGGAAUUUUGGACAAUGGGCGAAAGCCUGAUCCAGCAAUGCCGCGUGAGUGAAGAAGGCCUUCGGGUUGUAAAGCUCUUUUGUUUGGGAAGAAAUCCCUAAGGAUAAUACCCUUGGGGGAUGACGGUACCAAAAGAAUAAGCACCGGCUAACUACGUGCCAGCAGCCGCGGUAAUACGUAGGGUGCAAGCGUUAAUCGGAAUUACUGGGGGUGAAGCGUGCGGACAGGUGUGAAAUCCCCGAGCUCAACUUGGGAACUGCACUUGUGACUGCAAGACUAGAGUGUGUCAGAGGGAGGUAGAAUUCCACGUGUAGCAGUGAAAUGCGUAGAUAUGUGGAGGAAUACCAGUGGCGAAGGCGGCCUCCUGGGAUAACACUGACGCUCAUGUACGAAAGCGUGGGGAGCAAACAGGAUUAGAUACCCUGGUAGUC
This 450-nucleotide ribosomal RNA is filed under the name uncultured bacterium. Its description in RNAcentral is "partial 16S ribosomal RNA". It matches the Rfam family "Bacterial small subunit ribosomal RNA", at positions 338 to 795 of the family's 1533-position model. The record is from RNAcentral.